GAGUUUGAUCGUGGCUCAGGACAAACGCUGGCGGGGUGCAUGAGACAUGCAAGUCGAACGGGGUUGAGCGGGCUUGCUCGAUCAACCUAGUGGCGGACGGCUGAGUAACGCGUAGGUGACCUACCCGGAAGUGGGGAAUAACUGCCCGAAAGGGUGGCUAAUACCGCAUGUGGUCGGCGAUUCGGUUCGCCGUGCAAAGCCGCAAGGCGCUUCCGGAGGGGCCUGCGUCCGAUUAGCUAGUUGGUGGGGUAAUGGCUCACCAAGGCGACGAUCGGUAGCUGGUCUGAGAGGAUGAUCAGCCAGACUGGGACUGAGAACGGCCCAGACUCCUACGGGAGGCAGCAGUCGGGAAUUUUGCCCAAUGGACGAAAGUCUGAGGCAGCAACUCCGCGUGAGGGACGAAGGCCUUCGGUCGGUAAACCUACUUUCUUCAGGGAAGAUACAAGACGGUACCU
Molecule: ribosomal RNA, 455 nt
Filed under: uncultured bacterium
Lineage: Bacteria
Description: bacterial SSU rRNA
Rfam family: Bacterial small subunit ribosomal RNA
Source: RNAcentral